AGGACAAGAGGGGGAGCUUGAGGGAAAUAGAGUGACGCCAGAGUGCCUGAUGGCCUUUGUUAAAGACCAGCUGUGUCCACAGAGUCAAGGUGGCAGGCGAACCAAGUGACCUGUAGCUGAGGCAGCUUUCUUCCCUGUUGCUGUAGCACACUGUGGGACUCCGGUUAAACAUCUGUGGCUGGAAGGAGUAGUGCGCUGGGAAGAGCAGAGAGGAGAGGAGGAGACCAGGAAACAGGACGGCUGGGGGUGGGAUUAGGGACAGCAGGCACAGAUGAGAUGAGAGACAACUGUGGAGCAGUCGAGACGAUGGCUUGGUGUACAAAUCAGACCCUAUUUGUUUAACUGUACCCUCAAAACUAGUUUUUGCUUUUUUGGUGCCUCGCUAAUCAGCCAUUCUGCCCUCUCUCUCUCCAUAUAUAUAUAUAUAUUUUGGUUCACCACAGUACAUUCUUCAGUAUUGUUUCACCUGGCACACUGGAUCCUGAGACAGGGACUAAGACAAGGAUCGGACUGUUUCUAUAAUACAAACUUUUAUUUCUGCUCCUUUAAAGCAAUAUUCAUAAACUACAGUGUGUCUUAAACAUAACGAUGAAUGAGGCUGUGCUGAAAAUGU
Long non-coding RNA from Astatotilapia calliptera (eastern happy), 613 nucleotides. The record is from Ensembl. NCBI's taxonomy places the organism in Eukaryota, Metazoa, Chordata, Actinopteri, Cichliformes, Cichlidae.